CUGGCUUAGUGGCUUGGUUUUUUUUUUUGAUAGAGGCUUAGUGGCUUGGUUGUGUCGGAGAAAAAUUUAGCAGUGGAUGGGUUUUUUGAACUGACAGUGCCUACGUGGUUUCUUGACGGCUUACCAUUUUUUUUUAGAAUAAACCUAUGAUCAAUGAGGUUAUUUAGGCCAUGCCAUAAUACACUGCUUUGCCUGGCAGCAGCCAGAUGGGCCUGUAUACUGAUCUGGGCUUCGGCCUGCUAGAGCUUUGUGCUUGAUGUUUUUCCUGGGCAA
Molecule: long non-coding RNA, 273 nt
Filed under: Sorghum bicolor (sorghum)
Lineage: Eukaryota; Viridiplantae; Streptophyta; Magnoliopsida; Poales; Poaceae
Description: long non-coding RNA (SBIC_LNC009232)
Source: RNAcentral